AGCGAACGCUGGCGGCAGGCUUAACACAUGCAAGUCGAGCGGGCGUAGCAAUACGUCAGCGGCAGACGGGUGAGUAACGCGUGGGAACGUACCUUUUGGUUCGGAACAACACAGGGAAACUUGUGCUAAUACCGGAUAAGCCCUUACGGGGAAAGAUUAUCGCCGAAAGAUCGGCCCGCGUCUGAUUAGCUAGUUGGUGUGGUAACGGCGCACCAAGGCGACGAUCAGUAGCUGGCUGAGAGGAUGAUCAGCCA
This 254-nucleotide ribosomal RNA is filed under the name uncultured bacterium. RNAcentral describes it as "partial 16S ribosomal RNA". It matches the Rfam family "Bacterial small subunit ribosomal RNA", at positions 29 to 310 of the family's 1533-position model. The record is from RNAcentral.